Molecule: long non-coding RNA, 214 nt
Organism: Etheostoma spectabile (orangethroat darter)
Lineage: Eukaryota; Metazoa; Chordata; Actinopteri; Perciformes; Percidae
Exons: 3
Source: RefSeq, a predicted model, not a curated record
AUACAUAUACAAAUAGAUACAUAAAGUGCUGCCACAGUCCUGUUACAGUCAUUCCCCGGCUCCAAUGACGGUGCAGAGACACGGAUGCGGAAGACCCAGAAACGCUGACCAAUCAGACCAGACUGGGCUUCUUUCAAGAGGGGCGCUUGAAAAGACAGCUGCUAAAACAGAGCUUUAAAAUAGAGGGUGAAUACAAGUGUAUUCAGACAGACAG